Molecule: ribosomal RNA, 497 nt
Filed under: uncultured bacterium
Lineage: Bacteria
Description: partial 16S ribosomal RNA
Rfam family: Bacterial small subunit ribosomal RNA
Source: RNAcentral
GAUGAACGCUGGCGGCGUGCCUAAUACAUGCAAGUCGAGCGAACGGACGAGGAGCUUGCUUUUCUGAUGUUAGCGGAGGACGGGUGAGUAACACGUGGAUAACCUACCUAUAAGACUGGGAUAACUUCGGGAAACCGGAGCUAAUACCGGAGAAUAUUUUGAACCGCAUGGUGCAAUAGUGAAAGACGGUCUUGCUGUCACUUAUAGAUGGAUCCGCGCUGCAUUAGCUAGUUGGUAAGGUAACGGCCUACCAAGGCAACGAUGCAUAGCCGACCUGAGAGGGUGGUCGGCCACCUGGGAACUUGGACACGGUCCAUACUCCUACGGGAGGCAGCAGUAGGGAAUCUUCCGCAGUGGGCGAAAGCCUGACGGAGCAACCCCGCGUGUGUUAUGAAGGCGUUCCGAGCGUAAAGAUCUGUUAUUAGUGAAGAACAUAUUUGUAAGUAACUGAGCACUUCGUGACGGUACCUAGUCAGAAAGCCACGGCUAACUACGUG